Molecule: ribosomal RNA, 479 nt
Filed under: uncultured bacterium
Lineage: Bacteria
Description: partial 16S ribosomal RNA
Rfam family: Bacterial small subunit ribosomal RNA
Source: RNAcentral
GAUGAACGCUAGCGGGAGGCCUAACACAUGCAAGCCGAGCGGUAUUUGUUCUUCGGAACAGAGAGAGCGGCGCACGGGUGCGGAACACGUGUGCAACCUGCCUUUAUCUGGGGGAUAGCCUUUCGAAAGGAAGAUUAAUACCCCAUAAUAUAUUGAGUGGCAUCACUUGAUAUUGAAAACUCCGGUGGAUAGAGAUGGGCACGCGCAAGAUUAGAUAGUUGGUGAGGUAACGGCUCACCAAGUCAAUGAUCUUUAGGGGGCCUGAGAGGGUGAUCCCCCACACUGGUACUGAGACACGGACCAGACUCCUACGGGAGGCAGCAGUGAGGAAUAUUGGACAAUGGGUUAGCGCCUGAUCCAGCCAUCCCGCGUGAAGGACGACGGCCCUAUGGGUUGUAAACUUCUUUUGUAUAGGGAUAAACCUACUCUCGUGAGAGUAGCUGAAGGUACUAGACGAAUAAGCACCGGCUAACUCCGUG